UAGGGGAACGGAUCGUCGGUCUACCGAGCAAUACCAACCGCUCGGUGGAAGAUCUUCCCUGCGUCAU
RNAcentral lists this microRNA precursor (67 nucleotides) under Bombyx mori (domestic silkworm). Its description in RNAcentral is "mir-2774 microRNA precursor family". It matches the Rfam family "mir-2774 microRNA precursor family". The record is from Rfam by way of RNAcentral. Lineage: Eukaryota; Metazoa; Arthropoda; Insecta; Lepidoptera; Bombycidae.